Cricetulus griseus (Chinese hamster) is the source of this 45-nucleotide non-coding RNA. NCBI's taxonomy places the organism in Eukaryota, Metazoa, Chordata, Mammalia, Rodentia, Cricetidae. The record is from Rfam.
CCCAAGGCCUUUUUAAAGGCCACAAGUUUUAAAACAAGCACCUCA